This 263-nucleotide ribosomal RNA is filed under the name uncultured bacterium. RNAcentral describes it as "partial 16S ribosomal RNA". It matches the Rfam family "Bacterial small subunit ribosomal RNA", at positions 333 to 613 of the family's 1533-position model. The record is from RNAcentral.
AGCCUCCUACGGGACGCAGCAGUGGGGAAUAUUGCACAAUGGGGGAAACCCUGAUGCAGCGACGCCGCGUGAGUGAAGAAGUAAUUCGUUACGUAAAGCUCUAUCAGCAGGGAAGAGAAUGACGGUACCUGAGUAAGAAGCCCCGGCUAACUACGUGCCAGCAGCCGCGGUAAUACGUAGGGGGCAAGCGUUAUCCGGAUUUACUAGGUGUAAAGGGAGCGUAGACGGCAGAGAAAGUCUGAAGUGAAAGCCCGCGGCUCAAC